GGUCAUGAGUGUCAGCGUCAAAGCCCCGGCUUGCUGGCCGGCAACCCUCCAACCGCGGUGGGGUGCCCCGGGUGAGAAGACCUGGUUAGUCGACUGCGUUCGCGUAGUCGGAGAACAAGCGCGGGUU
This 127-nucleotide non-coding RNA is filed under the name Rhodococcoides fascians. RNAcentral describes it as "Rhodococcus fascians SAM-IV sequence". It matches the Rfam family "SAM (S-adenosyl methionine) riboswitch aptamer". Rfam says of the family: SAM-IV is a mRNA element that regulates gene expression via direct sensing of S-adenosylmethionine (SAM or AdoMet). SAM-IV riboswitches share conserved nucleotide positions with the previously described SAM-I riboswitches sequence analysis and molecular recognition experiments suggest that SAM-I and SAM-IV riboswitches share similar ligand binding sites, but have different scaffolds. RNAcentral also lists the same sequence under 1 other name. The record is from RNAcentral. Lineage: Bacteria; Bacillati; Actinomycetota; Actinomycetes; Mycobacteriales; Nocardiaceae.